RNAcentral lists this long non-coding RNA (387 nucleotides) under Haliotis rufescens (red abalone). RNAcentral describes it as "uncharacterized LOC124112538". Lineage: Eukaryota; Metazoa; Mollusca; Gastropoda; Lepetellida; Haliotidae. The record is from RNAcentral.
UGUUCGCUGAUAAACAGCCUUGACUGCGACGUAUCGACCUACUUAUACACGCACGGCUAUAUAAGGUCCUGGAAACACUCCACAGCAUAAAGAAACCAUGAAGUUUGUGAUUGUCCUCGUGUUUGCCUCUCUCCUGGUCGCCACCCAGGCAGCCCAGACCUCUUGUGGCAAGGGGUGUGCAGACUCAGGCUCUAACGCCCACUCUUUCUGCGAAAACCUCUGCUCCAGCUGUACCGGCCACGUCAACUGUAACCACCAUCUUGACGAAUGCGAGUGCCACUCAAAUGACCAUACUCACAAGCCAUGAGCGCCGCCAUCAAGCUGCAGGAUAUGACAGUGUGACUGUGCUAAGGAGGGUGUUUGUCAAUAAAGUUACUUCAGAUUGCA